GGAAGGGAAGGGAAGGGAAGGGAAGGGAAGGCGCAGGGAGGCGCUGGAAAGCGCUCUCCCGGGACUGACCCGAGCCCCACAAACCCUUUAUAUACCCCCAGCCGGGGUUGGGGCUCUGCCAUGUCACAAUGGACUUUGGGCAUCACAAGGUCCCGCAUCAGCGAGGGCCCUGACGCACCGUGCCUGUGUCAUAGAGGCCACCCCGGCACCCCGUGCCUGUGUCACAAAGGCCACCCCGGCAACCCGUGCCUGUGUCACAAAGGCCACCCCAGCACCCCGUGCCUGUGUCACAAAGGCCACCCCAGCACCCCUCCAACAGCCCGAGUCACCGGGAGCGGCCUGGAGCAGCCCCGGUCUUGGGGGAUUGCUGCCCCUUCUUCUGAGCCGCUCCUUCAAAUGAUCAGGAGCGGCUGGGGCCGAGUGAAGUUUUGGGUGCUGCCCUCAGGAAUGAGGUGAAACCAACGUCUUUGGAAACUUUGGAAGGAACAAAUGAAAGGAUUAGGCUCCUGAAAAAGGAAUGUUGAGGUAAGGUGUAGGUGAGACAUAGCAAAUUUCCCAUCUGUCAGAAGGAGGAGAAAGAAACGUUUCCUGUCCCUGCUAAGACAGGGAGCAGGAAGUGUGACUUGGAGAAGGAGAGUUUAAUCCAUCUAUUAAAAAAAACAGUGAUAAACUACAGCAGACUGAUUAGGAAACAUUGUUUAUGUUUCAGUUCCAAAGGUCUUUAAUUCCACCUUCUGCUGAGCAAGAACUGAGUGUGGUGUUGCACUAAGCCAGGCGUUAUGUUUGCACUGAAGUGUUUUUUCCCUGUUGCUCAUCCCUGGGUGUGUGGUGUUGGAUGCCUCCCCUCGCUCUUCCCCUUCCAUUUCAUUGAAGUUGGAAUCCUGCUUUCUCCCUCCCUUUGGCCUCCCAGUUUAAAAACCCCUGCCAUUUCUCCCUGUGUCUCUUUUUUCCCCGGAAUUCAUUCCAAGAAUAAACUGGACAGCAUCCUGGAGAAAAGAGCCUCC
RNAcentral lists this long non-coding RNA (1004 nucleotides) under Cyanistes caeruleus (blue tit). RNAcentral describes it as "lncRNA (ENSCCEG00000004099.1)". Lineage: Eukaryota; Metazoa; Chordata; Aves; Passeriformes; Paridae. The record is from RNAcentral.